This 750-nucleotide ribosomal RNA is filed under the name Lepiota sp. BAB-4738. RNAcentral's name for it is "eukaryotic LSU rRNA". The stretch from base 286 to 439 matches the Rfam family "5.8S ribosomal RNA". The record is from RNAcentral. Lineage: Eukaryota; Fungi; Basidiomycota; Agaricomycetes; Agaricales; Agaricaceae.
AACAAGGUUUCCGUAGGUGAACCUGCGGAAGGAUCAUUAUUGAAUAACUUGAUGGGUUGUUGCUGGCCUCUUGAGGCAUGUGCACGCCUGUCUUGACUCUAUUCAUCCACCUGUGCACUUAUUGUAGUUUCUUAUUCUCUGGAUUUGAAGACUGCCUUUUUCAGGCUUUCUUCUGGCUGGCCUUGUGCUUUAUCAGAGACUGAGGGGCUAUGUUUCUUAUCAUAAACCAAGUAGUAUGUCUCCAGAAUGUAUUUAAUGGGCCAUUGUGCCUAUAUAAAUGUAUACAACUUUCAGCAACGGAUCUCUUGGCUCUCGCAUCGAUGAAGAACGCAGCGAAAUGCGAUAAGUAAUGUGAAUUGCAGAAUUCAGUGAAUCAUCGAAUCUUUGAACGCACCUUGCGCUCCUUGGUAUUCCGAGGAGCAUGCCUGUUUGAGUGUCAGUAAAUUCUCAAACUCAUCAGCUUUUGUUGUUGGGUUUUGGAUGUGGAGGCUUUGCCGGCCUGUAUAGGUCAGCUCCUCUGAAAUACAUUAGCGGAACCGUUUGCGAUCCGUCACAGGUGUGAUAAUUAUCUACGCCAGUGGGUUGCUCUCUGUCUUGUUCAGUUGCAAACUGUCCAUAAAGGACAAAACUACUACUGAAUAUUUGACCUCAAAUCAGGUAGGACUACCCGCUGAACUUAAGCAUAUCAAUAAGCGGAGGAAAAGAAACUAACAAGGAUCUCCCCUAGUAACUGCGAGUGAAGCGGGAAAA